Molecule: long non-coding RNA, 1265 nt
Filed under: Volvox carteri
Lineage: Eukaryota; Viridiplantae; Chlorophyta; Chlorophyceae; Chlamydomonadales; Volvocaceae
Description: long non-coding RNA (VCAR_LNC001809)
Source: RNAcentral
AAAAGGCCACGAACGACGCGCCUGCUGAGGGUGAGAAGCUGUGCGUGGAGCUUAAAAAGCACCUGCGUAAGGCAAUGCCAGUGGGCUGGGAUGUUGUGACACCGCGGAAGAGAGCCAGUUGUUACUAGCGGUUAGCAAACGGGUCGAAGCGGAGAAGGCGAUGGUAGGAAAAUCGGGCAAGUCGUUUGCAGCCAAGCAGCAUAAUGGGGGAGGUCGGUCGCGUUUUGCAGGCCCCAGCCUCCUGCCCAUCCCGCAGCCGAGUUUCGGUACGGGCUCAGGCGGGCGCAGGUCCGAUGUGUGCCUGGCUCGCCCCCUCCCAAGGAAGCAAGCACAACUCUCCUGCCUGCAGGUAACCCUCCGUCUGUACGACCCCUAAGCGGUAAGGGAACUACUCAAUAAAGCAAUCAUUGCUUUCUGACUAAUAACAAUCCACGCCGUACAGUACGUCUUCCAAUGCAGCGAAGUUUCAGGUUCCGGGCCGUCUUUUAAGGAGUCCUCUGCGCAGAAGAGCUCUAACGCCCUCGACCAGUGUCAAGCAGUGGCCUAAUUCGCUCCUAUGUUCUCUCAGUACCGCCGCUGGCACUACUACUGGUCCGAGCCUCCCCUGGUGCCCUGUAACCCUCCCGAGUUAUGAAAAGGAAACUUGGAAAUGAAGAGAGCUCACUUGUGCGAAUUAGCUCGGAAUUCUCAACCAGCCAAUCAGCGUCAGCACCUCCUGUGUAAGACAAUUGAACUCCCUUGAAACUUUUUGACUCCCACGAGUGUUUUGUUUUUGGGCGGGGCCCCAGCGCGAAGCGCCCAGGGGGGCCCCGACCUGUAGGAUUGCCCAUGUCCGUGUGUGUGUGUGUGUGUGUGUGUCUGUAACGGACCAAACAUAAUAUCUCGCCCGGCUGAAACGCGUUAUAGGUACUAUACAGCAUCCUCUAUUGCAAGGUAUUUCGCAUGUAGCCAACAAAAAUUGUAAGAGCGCAAACAAGUUUGGCUGCCUCAAUUGACCGAGGCCAAAGUCACAUCAACGCCUCUCGCGCUAAAUUUCAUCCCGAAAGGUACCGCGUAUCUCAUAUUUGAAUUCUUAGAUGACGGCGUAUGAUAACUCGAACUCCCAGGCCUUGAGUGUGUAACGGACCAAACAUAAUAUUUCACCCGGCUGAAACGCGUUAUCGGUACUAUACAGCAUUCUCUAUUGCAAGGUAUCUCGCAUGUAGCUAACAAAGACCGUAUGAGCACAAACAAGUUUAGCUGCCUCCAUUCACCGACCUCAAAAG